Molecule: unclassified non-coding RNA, 353 nt
Filed under: soil metagenome
Description: partial contains 5.8S ribosomal RNA, internal transcribed spacer 2, and large subunit ribosomal RNA
Rfam family: 5.8S ribosomal RNA (bases 1-120)
Source: RNAcentral
GAUGAAGGACGUAGCGAAAUGCGAUAAGUAGUGUGAAUUGCAGAAUUCAGUGAAUCAUCGAAUCUUUGAACGCACAUUGCGCCCGCCAGUAUUCUGGCGGGCAUGCCUGUUCGAGCGUCAUUACAACCCUCAGGCCCCCGGGCCUGGCGUUGGGGAUCGGCGGAAGCCCCCUGCGGGCACAACGCCGUCCCCCAAAUACAGUGGCGGUCCCGCCGCAGCUUCCAUUGCGUAGUAGCUAACACCUCGCAACUGGNGNGCGGCGCGGCCACGCCGUAAAACACCCAACUUCUGAAUGUUGACCUCGAAUCAGGUAGGAAUACCCGCUGAACUUAAGCAUAUCAAUAAGCGGAGGA